AACCUGGUUGAUCCUGCCAGUAGUCAUAUGCUUGUCUCAAAGACUAAGCCAUGCAUGUCUAAGUAUAAGUAUUAUACAGCGAAACUGCGAAUGGCUCAUUAAAACAGUUAUAAUUUAUUUGAUAAUCGAAUUUACAUGGAUAACCGUGGUAAUUCUAGAGCUAAUACAUGCUGGUAGGCCCGACUUUUUGGAAGGGCGGUAUUUAUUAGAUAACAAACCAAUAUUCCUCUGGUCUAUUGUGGUGAAUCAUAAUAACUGGUCGAAUCGCAAGGUUUUUAACCGCGAUAAGUCAUUCAAGUUUCUGCCCCAUCAGCUUUCGAUGGUAGUGUAUUGGACUACCAUGGCUUUUACGGGUAACGGAGGAUUAGGGUUCGAUUCCGGAGAGGGAGCCUGAGAAACGGCUACCCACAUCUAAGGAA
Molecule: ribosomal RNA, 419 nt
Filed under: uncultured marine eukaryote
Lineage: Eukaryota
Description: SSU rRNA
Rfam family: Eukaryotic small subunit ribosomal RNA
Source: RNAcentral